RNAcentral lists this ribosomal RNA (253 nucleotides) under uncultured bacterium. RNAcentral describes it as "partial 16S ribosomal RNA". It matches the Rfam family "Bacterial small subunit ribosomal RNA", at positions 524 to 776 of the family's 1533-position model. The record is from RNAcentral.
UACGUAGGGGGCUAGCGUUGUCCGGAAUCAUUGGGCGUAAAGCGCGUGUAGGCGGUCCGGUAAGUCCGCUGUGAAAGUCGAGGGCUCAACCCUCGAAUGCCGGUGGAUACUGUCGGGCUUGAGUACGGGAGAGGCGAGUGGAAUUCCUGGUGUAGCGGUGAAAUGCGCAGAUAUCAGGAGGAACACCAGUGGCGAAGGCGACUACCUGGCCUGUUCUUGACGCUGAGGCGCGAAAGCUAGGGGAGCAAACAGG